CGAGUAUCAGAAUGAUACGAGUAACCUGCGUUCAGGUUCGAGCCGAGCGAAGCGAGACAGCAACGCGCCAGCGUUGACCCGAAGGGCGAGGCCAGCGGCCGAGUCAUCCCGCACGACCCACCA
This 123-nucleotide small RNA is filed under the name Yersinia enterocolitica. RNAcentral's name for it is "RtT sRNA". It matches the Rfam family "RtT RNA". Rfam says of the family: This family represents a bacterial cis-regulatory element known as RtT RNA. Lineage: Bacteria; Pseudomonadati; Pseudomonadota; Gammaproteobacteria; Enterobacterales; Yersiniaceae. The record is from RNAcentral.